RNAcentral lists this ribosomal RNA (497 nucleotides) under uncultured bacterium. RNAcentral describes it as "partial 16S ribosomal RNA". It matches the Rfam family "Bacterial small subunit ribosomal RNA", at positions 28 to 507 of the family's 1533-position model. The record is from RNAcentral.
GGCGAACGCUGGCGGCGUGCCUAAUACAUGCAAGUCGAGCGCUGAAGGUUGGUACUUGUACCGACGGGAUGAGCAGCGAACGGGUGAGUAACGCGUGGGUAAUCUGCCUAUGAGCGGGGGAUAACAUCUGGAAACGAAUGCUAAUACCGCAUAAUAACUUUAAACACAAGGUUCAAGAGUGAAAGAUGGAAUUGCAGUACCUAAAGAAUAUAUCGCGUUGUCUUAGCUAGUUGGUGAGGGAAAGGCUCACCAAGGCGAAGAUACAUAGCCGGCCCGAGAGGGGGGUCCGCCAACAUGGGACUGGGACCCGGCCCAAACCCCUUCGGGAGGGCGCCAGAGGGGAUCUUCCGCCAUGGACGGAAGGCUUGACGGGCCACGCCGCGGGAGUGAAGGAGGUUUUCCGAUCGUAAAACUCUGUUUGUUGAGAAGAACGUUGGUGGGAGGGGAAAGCGCAUCAAGUGACGGUACCUACCCAGAAAGGCACGGCUAACUACGUG